AGACGUCUACAUUAGAUACCCGCGUAGUCCCAGCCGUAAACUAUGCGCGUUAGGUGUAUCGGUGACCACGAGUUACCGAGGUGCCGAAGGGAAACCGUGAAACGUGCCGCCUGGGAAGUACGGUCGCAAGGCUGAAACUUAAAGGAAUUGCGGGGGAGCACCACAACAGGUGGAGCCUGCGGUUUAAUUGGACUCAACGCCGGGAAGCUCACCGGAUAGGACAGCAGAAUGAUUGCCGGGCUGAAGACCCUGCAUGACUAGCUG
This 264-nucleotide ribosomal RNA is filed under the name uncultured archaeon. RNAcentral's name for it is "partial 16S ribosomal RNA". It matches the Rfam family "Archaeal small subunit ribosomal RNA", at positions 717 to 982 of the family's 1478-position model. The record is from RNAcentral.